Asparagus officinalis (garden asparagus) is the source of this 475-nucleotide long non-coding RNA. RefSeq lists it as uncharacterized. The record is from RefSeq and is a predicted model, not a curated record. NCBI's taxonomy places the organism in Eukaryota, Viridiplantae, Streptophyta, Magnoliopsida, Asparagales, Asparagaceae. The transcript is spliced from 3 exons.
GAUUAUGUCUUAGGCUUGAAAAAGGAAUUUCUAGUGGCUCCUCGAAAGCAUCGUGAGAGUUAAAUUUUGGAUUGUCGGUUGGAUUAAGAGACUCGGGAUUAGGUGGAAUUGAGGAUUUGCCAAAUUCUUAGAACGAAGCAAAGAAUAUAAUUUGAGAUUGUUAUUGUCUUCUAGGCAAAGGUUAAAUAAAGUCUUUAAUAUUUAGUUGAUAAAUUGAGAGUUUUGUAAUAAUGAGAUUCUUUUUUUAGGUUGAGAUUUAUUUGGAGUUCAGGAAUAUUUAUUUUUAUCAAGUUAAUUGGCUUAGUUUGACUUUUGGGAUUAUAGAGAAUAUUUGUUGUUGGUUUUAGUUCAAUGAAAAGAUUUGUUUUAGUGGUCUUUUAAUGAAUGUAUAUUUUGGAGGACUUUUCACAGGUUUAGUCCGGCUCUAAUAUUCCUUUUAGGUUCGGAAAUUGGGGUCGUGACACCAUUGUACUGU